RNAcentral lists this transfer RNA (83 nucleotides) under Accumulibacter sp. RNAcentral describes it as "tRNA-Leu". It matches the Rfam family "tRNA". Rfam says of the family: Transfer RNA (tRNA) molecules are approximately 80 nucleotides in length. Their secondary structure includes four short double-helical elements and three loops (D, anti-codon, and T loops). Lineage: Bacteria; Pseudomonadati; Pseudomonadota; Betaproteobacteria. The record is from RNAcentral.
GCCCGGGUGAUGAAAUUGGUAGACAUAGCGGACUUAAAAUCCGCAGCCGAUAUGGCAUACGGGUUCGAAUCCCGUCCUGGGCA